CGCGGUAAAACCAGCUCUCCGAGUGGUCGGGAUGAUUAUUGGGCUUAAAGCGUCCGUAGCCGGCUCGGUCAGUCUUCCGUUAAAUCCGACGUCCCAAGCGUCUAGGCCGCGGAGAAUACUGCCGGGCUAGGGAGUGGGAGAGGCCGACGGUACUCCCUGGGUAGGGGUAAAAUCCUUAGAGCCAGGGAGGACCAUCAGUGGCGAAGGCGGUCGGCUAGAACGCGCCCGACGGUGAGGGACGAAAGCUGGGGGAGCGAUCCGGAUUAGAUACCCGGGUAGUCCCAGCUGUAAACGAUGCAGGCUAGGUGUUCGGUCGGCUACGAGCCGCUCCGUGUGCCGCAGGGAAGCCGUUAAGCCUGCCGCCUGGGAAGUACGGUCGCAAGGCUGAAACUUAAAGGAAUUGGCGGGGGAGCACCACAAGG
RNAcentral lists this ribosomal RNA (422 nucleotides) under uncultured archaeon. Its description in RNAcentral is "bacterial SSU rRNA". It matches the Rfam family "Archaeal small subunit ribosomal RNA", at positions 466 to 886 of the family's 1478-position model. The record is from RNAcentral.